GAACGCUGGCGGCGUGCUUAACACAUGCAAGUCGAGCGGUAAGGCCCUUUCGGGGGUACACGAGCGGCGAACGGGUGAGUAACACGUGGGUGACCUGCCCUCAGCUCUGGGAUAAGCCUGGGAAACCGGGUCUAAUACCGGAUAUGACUCCAUGACGCAUGUUGUGGGGUGGAAAGCCUUGUGCGGCUGAGGAUGGGCCCGCGGCCUAUCAGCUUGUUGGUGGGGUGAUGGCCUACCAAGGCGACGACGGGUAGCCGGCCUGAGAGGGCGACCGGCCACACUGGGACUGAGACACGGCCCAGACUCCUACGGGAGGCAGCAGUGGGGAAUACUUGCGCAAUGGGCGAAAGCCUGACGCAGCGACGCCGCGUGAGGGA
Molecule: ribosomal RNA, 377 nt
Filed under: uncultured bacterium
Lineage: Bacteria
Description: bacterial SSU rRNA
Rfam family: Bacterial small subunit ribosomal RNA
Source: RNAcentral